CAACAGGAAGUGUGUGUAUGUACAAACAAGGAGAGAGAGAGCACUUUGUUUGAAAGAAUUGACUCACAUAAUUGUGGGAUCUGGAAAGUCUGUAAUCUGCAAGGCAACCAGCAGGCUGGAGACCCACAGAAGAGUUGACAUUGAAUCUUCCAGUGUGAAAGUCUUUUGGAGGACGAAUUCCUUCUCAAGAGACCUUAGCCUUUUCUCUCACACCUUCAGCCGCCUGGAUGAGGCCCAUCCACAUUAUUGUCCAUUAUGUGCCAGAUGCUGUGUUUGGUCCAAGAAUAGGAAGUCAACGUCACAGACCCUUCUUUCAAAAAGCUCACGUCUAGGGAGAGUAUGACUGAAGAAAAAGAGAAUGACUGAAAGCUAUGUACAAAAGGGGGGAUCUGAAGAACCACAGCAACAACCUAUAGCAUAGAUCAUGGGACAUAGCUCGCAAUAAUUCCCCCAUAUUUGCCACAAAAGGGCUUCAUUUCCUAAAGAAGCAAACGGUUGUAGAUGAGCCUCCAGGUGCUACAAGAGAGCAGUAGCUGGAAAGAACAUGAGAGUUUUUGCCUACGCAUAGGCAAAGAUGGUUCCGGCUACCCAUCUCGGACCUUCUCAGACCAAGCAGAGCUGUAGCCUCUAGGCUUGUCUUACCCUGUAAUGCAUUUGGAAAGCACCAUAUUCUCAGGAAUAGAAAAGUCUGCUGGUGAUCUUCUCUUCCAGACCGUCUGCCCUGAGAACUUUGGGCUCUGACAUGAAAUGUGGAGACAGCCUUGCGGAGACUUCUUAGCCAGCUGCCAUAAUUAGGAUGCAUAUAUGAUAUGUGGGAACUGGCACUAGUCUGUGUUCUGUGUGAACAUCAGGAAUCAAGUGGUGGUGGAUGGGGACCAUGAAAUCCAAACUAGUUGAAAUGUUUACGCAUUGCUCGAACUCCAAAAUUCUGAUCAGUAGUUCUUUUCCUGCUAUGUCUUCACACCUUCAAAUUAGUCCAUUUUUUUCCUCCACGUUUCAUUGUCAAACAAGACUUUGUAGAAAAAUGUAAGUAAUAAACUUCUUUUCAUC
Herpailurus yagouaroundi (jaguarundi) is the source of this 1050-nucleotide long non-coding RNA. RefSeq lists it as uncharacterized. The transcript has 7 exons. The record is from RefSeq and is a predicted model, not a curated record. NCBI's taxonomy places the organism in Eukaryota, Metazoa, Chordata, Mammalia, Carnivora, Felidae.